RNAcentral lists this ribosomal RNA (446 nucleotides) under uncultured bacterium. Its description in RNAcentral is "partial 16S ribosomal RNA". It matches the Rfam family "Bacterial small subunit ribosomal RNA", at positions 338 to 795 of the family's 1533-position model. The record is from RNAcentral.
CCUACGGGAGGCUGCAGUCGAGAAUCAUUCACAAUGGGGGAAACCCUGAUGGUGCGACGCCGCGUGGGGGAAUGAAGGUCUUCGGAUUGUAAACCCCUGUCAUGUGGGAGCAAAUUAAAAAGAUAGUACCACAAGAGGAAGAGACGGCUAACUCUGUGCCAGCAGCCGCGGUAAUACAGAGGUCUCAAGCGUUGUUCGGAACCACUGGGCGUAAAGCGUGCGUAGGCGGUUUCGUAAGUCGUGGGUGAAAGGCGCGGGCUCAACCCGCGGACGGCACAUGAUACUGCGAGACUAGAGUAAGGGAGGGGGAACCGGAAUUCUCGGUGUAGCAGUGAAAUGCGUAGAUAUCGAGAGGAACACUCGUGGCGAAGGCGGGUUCCUGGACAUUAACUGACGCUGAGGCACGAAGGCCAGGGGAGCGAAAGGGAUUAGAUACCCUGGUAGUC